UACGUAGGUGGCGAGCGUUGUCAGGAUUUACUGGGCGUAAAGGGAGCGUAGGCGGACUUUUAAGUGAGAUGUGAAAUACUCGGGCUCGACUUGAGUGCUGCAUUUCAAACUGGAAGUCUAGAGUGCAGGAGAGGAGAAUGGAAUUCCUAGUGUAGCGGUGAAAUGCGUAGAGAUUAGGAAGAACACCAGUGGCGAAGGCGAUUCUCUGGACUGUAACUGACGCUGAGGCUCGAAAGCGUGGGGAGCAAACAGG
Molecule: ribosomal RNA, 253 nt
Filed under: uncultured bacterium
Lineage: Bacteria
Description: partial 16S ribosomal RNA
Rfam family: Bacterial small subunit ribosomal RNA
Source: RNAcentral